AUUGAACGCUGGCGGCAGGCCUAACACAUGCAAGUCGAGCGGAUGAAGGGAGCUUGCUCCUGGAUUCAGCGGCGGACGGGUGAGUAAUGCCUAGGAAUCUGCCUGGUAGUGGGGGAUAACGUCCGGAAACGGGCGCUAAUACCGCAUACGUCCUGAGGGAGAAAGUGGGGGAUCUUCGGACCUCACGCUAUCAGAUGAGCCUAGGUCGGAUUAGCUAGUUGGUGGGGUAAAGGCCUACCAAGGCGACGAUCUGUAACUGGUCUGAGAGGAUGAUCAGUCACACUGGAACUGAGACACGGUCCAGACUCCUGCGGGAGGCAGCAGUGGGGAAUAUUGGACAAUGGGCGAAAGCCUGAUCCAGCCAUGCCGCGUGUGUGAAGAAGGUCUUCGGAUUGUAAAGCACUUUAAGUUGGGAGGAAGGGCAGUAAGUUAAUACCUUGCUGUUUUGACGUUACCAACAGAAUAAGCACCGGCUAACUUCGUG
Molecule: ribosomal RNA, 484 nt
Filed under: uncultured bacterium
Lineage: Bacteria
Description: partial 16S ribosomal RNA
Rfam family: Bacterial small subunit ribosomal RNA
Source: RNAcentral